UGCAAGUGUUAUCCGGAAUCACUGGGCGUAAAGCGUCUGUAGGUGGUUAAAUAAGUCAACUGUUAAAUCUUGAGGCUCAACUUCAAAAUCGCAGUCGAAACUGUUUGACUAGAGUAUAGUAGGGGUAAAGGGAAUUUCCAGUGGAGCGGUGAAAUGCGUAGAUAUUGGAAAGAACACCGAUGGCGAAGGCACUUUACUGGGCUAUUACUAACACUGAGAGACGAAAGCUAGGGUAGC
Molecule: ribosomal RNA, 237 nt
Filed under: uncultured bacterium
Lineage: Bacteria
Description: partial 16S ribosomal RNA
Rfam family: Bacterial small subunit ribosomal RNA
Source: RNAcentral